AUGAUGGAAGGUUUUGCUGGGAAAACGGCCAACAGACUGAUGGAUGCCCUAAAGGACUCUGACCUCCUGCACUGGAAACACAGCUUGUCGUAACUUACUGAUAUCAGCAUUGCACAGAAAACGGCCAUCUGGAGGCUGUACGGCCUCAGCACCAUGGCACUGCAUCAAGCCCAGAUGUUGCUGAGCAUGAACAGCCUGGAGUCGCUGAAUGAGGGUGUGCAGCAGAACAAUACUGAGUCCUUUGCCUUCGCUCUCUGCCAUCUGCUCUCUGCCAUCUUGCAGAGCUCCAUGCAGAACAGAGCUGUUUCAUGGCUGCUGGUGAAGUAUUAAAGCACUUGAAAGACCGAUUUCCACCCAACAAUCAGCACGCCCAGAAAUGGAUGCUGUGUGAUCAAAAAAUACAGUUUGACAGAGCACUGAAUGAUGGCAAAUUCCAUUUGGCUGAUUCACUUGUUACAGGAAUCACAGCGCUUAAUGGCAUAGAAGGUGUAUACAGGAAAGCAGUCAUACUGCAAGCUCAGAAGCAAACGACAGAGGCACACAAGCUUCUGCAGAAGUUGAUGACGUACUGUCAGAAGUUAAAGAACACAGAAAUGGUCAUUAGUGUCCUUCUGUCAGUGACAGAGCUGUACUGGAGCUCUUCUUCCCCGACCAUUGCCAUGCCUGUGCUCCUGGAAGCUCUGGCCCUCUCCAAAGAAUACCAAUUACAGUACUUGGCCUCUGAAACUGUGCUCAACUUGGCUUAUGCCCAGCUCAUCCUUAGAAUCCCAGAAUAGGCCUUAACCCUUCUCCACAUGGCUAGCUGAUGGGGCUAUCCUGGACAAAGGUCGUGCCAUGUUCUUAGUGUCCAAGUGCCAAGUGGCUUCAGCAGCUUCCUAUGACCCAGUGAAGAAAGCAGAAGCUCUGAAAGCUGCCAUUCAUAACCUCAGUGAAGCCAAGAACUACUUUGCAAACGUCGAAUGUAGAGAGCGCAUCAGGGAUGUUGCUUAAUUCCAUGGCACAAUGGUUCCUCUCCCUUGGCAAGACCCGGGAGAGGAACCAUUGUGCCAUGAUCUUCCGGCAACUGCACCAGGAGCUGCCAGCCGAUGGGGUGCCCUUGAUUAACCAUCUCUAG
Mus caroli (Ryukyu mouse) is the source of this 1114-nucleotide non-coding RNA. The record is from RefSeq and is a predicted model, not a curated record. Lineage: Eukaryota; Metazoa; Chordata; Mammalia; Rodentia; Muridae.